This is a non-coding RNA of Ictidomys tridecemlineatus (thirteen-lined ground squirrel), 69 nucleotides long. NCBI's taxonomy places the organism in Eukaryota, Metazoa, Chordata, Mammalia, Rodentia, Sciuridae. The record is from Rfam.
GGGGUUGUGGCUCAAUGGUAGAGUGUUUGCCUCAAAUGUGUGAGGCACUGGGUUCAAUUCUCAGCACCA